UACCGGACUAGAGGACGGUAGAGGAAGGUGGAAUUCCCGGUGUAGUGGUGAAAUGCGUAGAUAUCGGGAGGAACACCAGUGGCGAAGGCGGCCUUCUGGGCCGUUCCUGACGCUCAGACGCGAAAGCUAGGGUAGCAAACGGGAUUAGAGACCCCGGUAGUCCUAGCCGUAAACGAUGCAAACUUGGCGUCGGUGGGUUAAUAUCCAGCGGUGCCGAAGCUAACGCGAUAAGUUUGCCGCCUGGGGACUACGGCCGCAAGGUUAAAACUCAAAGGAAUUGACGGGUCCCCGCACAAGCAGCGGAGCGUGUGGUUUAAUUCGAUGUUACACGAAGAACCUUACCCGGGUUUGACAUGUGGGUGGUAGGGAUCCGAAAGGUGACCGACCCGCAAGGGAGCCCUCACAGGUGCUGCAUGGCUGUCGUCAGCUCGUGUCGUGAGAUGUUCGGUUAAGUCCGAUAACGAGCGCAACCCUCGCCGUAUGUUACAAGUGUCAUACGGGACCGCCGGUAUCAAGCCGGAGGAAGGUGGGGAUGACGUCAAGUCAGCAUGGCCUUUAUAUCCGGGGCUACACACACGCUACAAUGGCCGGUACAAUGGGUUGCUAAGCCGCGAGGUAGAGCCAAUCCCCAAAGCCGGUCUCAGUUCAGAUUGCAGGCUGCAACCCGCCUGCAUGAAGUCGGAGUUGCUAGUAACCGCGCGUCAGCUAUAGUGCGGUGAAUACGUUCUCGGGGAUUGUACACACCGCCCGU
This 751-nucleotide ribosomal RNA is filed under the name uncultured bacterium. RNAcentral's name for it is "bacterial SSU rRNA". It matches the Rfam family "Bacterial small subunit ribosomal RNA", at positions 634 to 1397 of the family's 1533-position model. The record is from RNAcentral.